CAGACAAAUUCCACGUGAAUACGUAUUUUAUUUGCUCACAUGAGCUACAAAAUUCCAACUUUGUUACAUCUGCACAAAAUAUGUUUACUUUUUACAAAAGGCUCCACCAGACUGCCACCUUGCAGUUGAUUUUUCCACAAAGUGCAAGAGAGAAUAGAGCACAUUUGACAUGUACAAAAAAUGAUGAAACCUCGAUGGAAUUUCAUGUCUUUAUUGUACUGGACUUAAUUUUACUUUCAAUAUUGGUGAUGUGCGUAAGUAACGCAUUGUAAUACCAUUCUGAGUAAAUAUUCUCUUUCAAUUUGAGUACGCUGGGCAUCCUUUCAAAAAAGUUUCUGAAGGUGGUUGCUUUCGGGUGAGGCAAGAAUUAAUGUGACAUUUAUGAGAUGUCUAAAUUAAAGGCAGAUCAAAAAAUGAUAAAGUAUGUUUGGCUCGAAUGGCACUGUGUAGUUGUCGGACAAGAUCCAGUGCAGGCUGUCUUUGGAACUGAUGUAUUUAUUCACCUAGGGAUCAUCUCACGGUGAUGUAAGAUUUGUUAUCACAGUACAUUGAAAAUAAAUAACUCUAAUAUACACACACAUCCAGGAUAAAAGUAUGUGUCACGAGGAUAGAACAGGUGGUCAGUUACGGCCUUACUGAAGGAACCAUCCUGGCUUUUGCUGAAAUAAUUUAGGAAAAUCUAAAUUAGGAUGGCGAGACAGGGAAACUCUGUCUCCCAGAAUAUGAGGUCAGUGUCUUAAUGACAGCAGUUCCUUGUUCUUUGGUCCCUGUUGUACAGUGUGCUUCUUAUCAUGAACCAGUUUAUGCUGGGAAAUUAAACAGUUCCAGUUUUGUCCACCCAUUGCAAAUCUGGCACUGUGAAUGCAAGAAAGAUGUACAGAAAUGUUUCUGUAAGUAAUUUAUUAGGAACAGUACACGGGUGGAAAAGUUCAAAUGAGUGAGAAAGGCACAAUGUUGAUGUUUAUUAUUAACUGCUGUUUACAGAACUUAUUCAGGAUGAGCACUGGAGAUGUUGACAGGAUGUUGCAUCUGUACAACAGUUGCUCACAGCAGUUUCAGUGGGAUCUGAGUAACCUAUUCCCUAUAUACAGGCCUUCAGAUCAGGUAGGGAUCGAACGUGUCUGUGGUAAACACAUUCUUUUAUGGUAGAUAGUCCCAGAGCCAAAAGUCACAUGGGUUCUCAUCACCUGAUCUGGCAGGCCAUGCAUCUAAAACCUUUGGAGAAAACACAUUCAUGGAAGGUUGCAUUAAGCAGAUUUUUCACUGUUCUAGCAAUGUGAUGUGUAGUCCCAUCUUGCCUGAAAACAGUGAUUUCCCUACGGUUGUGCUCUUUCAAAUCAGGAAUCGUGCUGUAAAACAAGGUCUCAAUAAUGUGCAAACAUAACGAUACACCUGACAGGCCCUCUAGUUAUAUUCUCUUCAAAGAAGAGCAGACCAAGAAUAAAGAUGCUUGUGAAUCCACACAACACAGUCACGUAAAGUGAAUGCAGUAGUUCUUUGUGUACAAUAUAUGAUUUAACAGUGCCCCUAAUUUUGAAGUUUUGUGUAUUCGGUACACCGUGUUGUGUAAAAUGUGCCUCGUCACUCGAUAGAAUAUAGCCGGCCACACUUAAAACUUCCGUCUGUGCUGGAAACCAAAGAGCAAUGUCAGAAGUUGCUGUUGAUCAUGAGGUUUGAAUUUCUACAUCUUGCCGGAUCUUGUAUGGGUACCAUUGUAAUACAGCCUGCAGAAUUUUCUGUACUUUUGACCCUGAGGAAGACAAUUCUUGCAACACUGCACAAAAAUUAGCUCUAUCGGGGACACGUGCUGCAUGGUCAGUUAUAGCAACAGUAACCUUGUCAAUAACUUCCACCAGUAUAGGACGCCUUCCUCUUCCGUUUGCUACCCAAGCUGACCCGUGUUUCCGAAUUUCAUUAUCAUAUUUCUUAAACCAUUUAAUGGAAUCUGGCCUCUCCUAAAACCUUUCACUCAGCGAUACUCUCAGUGCAACACUGUAAUUGCUGCCAUUCACGUAAAACAGUUUCACUAACAGCACAUGGUCUCUGUUCUUGAUAGCCACCUGUUCACUCAUGUUAUAUCUUGUCAAAUGACAGCAAGGAUGUCAUACUGCCACUCAAACUGCAUACAGCACCAGAUUUGCACCUGGUGGCCAUAAAUGUAACUAUUUUUUUUCCCCAGCAUAAAUCGGUUCCAUAUAAACACAUUAGCAUAUUUACCAAUUUUUGCAGCCAUACAAUAAUUACAGCAUACAUAGAACCUCUGUGAGGAACCGCACUUUAAUUAUAACCACCCGAUAUUAUAAUGUGAGAGGGAGUUCUUGUCAUUCCCUUUCAUUAAUAACCACUGUUCUGAAUCUUCUAAGUAAUCUUUAAUUGUGUAGCAGGAGAAGUUUAUGUCUCUCAGAAGUUCAAGAAGGGAUGCAUUCAAUGUACUAACUGCAUUUGUUUUCUAGACUCCUUAAGUGCAUGCAUGGUGCUGUGGCCUCUUACUGAAAACGAAGUGCGCACCUUUCACAUUUGUUAGAUCAGCAGCACUGUCAAGGAAAGCGCUAUUUCUGUAUGAAAUUAGUAUAGCGGUAUUUCAAUACCACAUUGAAUACUGAUUUUGAUCUGACAUUGAAUGUACCAGAUGCAUAUGCCCACACUACUACUAGUACUGAACCUACUACUGUUCCUUGGUUAGAAGCAUGAUUUCUACAAACUUCAAUUUUCCUGUUAUUUUUGUUGCACAGGCUCAUUGAAAUACCUGUCAUUGCAUUUUCUUUAGUAGCAGUUGUUGCUAGGUAUAUGGACAAACGUCCACACUGAAGACAAUUCUGUUCAUAUUUCAGUGUUACUGAUCCACUGAAAUACCAUGGCUGUGAGAUGAGGAACAUCCUCAGAUGCUAAAUGAAAGGCAUGAACUUACAUCCAAACUUGAAAUCUGCUGCAUUAGGUUAGACCAAGGUUUCCCAAACUGUGUUCUGUGGAAUUUUGGUGCUUCAUGGGAAGUGAGUAAAUGAUCCAAGAAAAACUAUUUACAACAUGGAAUUUUGUGUUUCUGACAUUCCGACAAAAUCAAUUGUAACUUUUUAAAAUUUUUAUUAAGAUUUCUGUGUUAUUAGGUAGGAUUUAAAAUUGAAACAAUCACUAAAUAAAACAAAUUUUAUUCAUUUUUUAAAAAUUUUGUUAACCUUCAGCACAAACAAUGUGUUCCAUCAAAGUGCUAGGAUUCUAAAGAGUUCUGUCAGAGAAAAAGUGUGGGAACCCCCGAGUUAGACUUUAUGUUGCUGCCAUUUGUCUUUCAUUGGAUUGUGCCAGUGAAAUAAAAAACUCUUUCUCAAAAAAUGAGGUUGAGCCCUCACCUCUUGUAACUAUCAUAGCUGUAGAUGAAUAUGUCUUGUGUGGGUUUUACAAUUUAACACCAGAAAAGAGGUUUUAUUUGUAGGCUGCUGAAUGAGGUCUUUAAAACUGAGUAGCUAUUCAUUUGUGUUUGCUGACUAUUGUAGACUGUGAGGGUAAUAAGGUUUCAACAUUGUAAUGCCAUUAUACACAUUAAUGUAUUUUAUCUUAUACAGAGCUUCUUACAAGGUCCUGCGGCUAAGAAGUAGUCUUACGCAUUGACAAGCAGUGAUGUCUGGAUAUGGAGUGCAGCUUGUGAUGUGCACUGUGAAUGGAAGAGUUUGGGCAAGAACUGCCUGAGGUGUUUCACUUUCCUCUAUGUGUGAAACAUUGCAGGGAAAGUCCACAGAAAAUAUGUUUCAGCACCUAAGCACAGCUGUUUUGGAUAAUCUCCAGAUCGUUAUCGGAUGUGUGCUUGGAACUGAAAUACAAGUGCCUGUAAUUCCUGUCCCUCAAAUUAACCCUCAGGGCAGAUUGGCUGCAGCAGAAAAUGAACUUUAAAACAUGGUGAACAGUUGAUGAGCAGAGGUUGACCUGAGUUUGUGACGAUUGAGCAUCAAGAAGAAUUGGUGCGCAAGAGCAUCAGAUGCAGCAUAAUCAAAUAUUAUUUUACUAACUGCACCACAACCAAUUCUAAGUCACAUAUCCAGAUUAUUUGGAGAAUUGCUUCUUAUAUGCUUGGUCAAUAAGCUUUAAAUCGUAGAAAAGUUGUAAUUUUACAUUAAAAUGCAGCCAUGACUAGCAAAUCACUAAAUUAGGUGCUUAGUUUAUUAUUUUUCAGUGUUUCUUCCUUGGAGAGAAAUGUAAUUUUAACGUUGUUCACCAUUGGUCUAGUCCGUUUCACUGCUUUCUGCGAAUGAUUCAUCGAUAUUGGAAAUAGGUAUGGUUUACAGUACAUGCAAAUAUUUUUGCAAUGUGAAUUGUUGACUGUAAAUUGCAACAGUUGUGAAUAUUGUGUUGGACAGAUGUAAUAGAGCAAAGUCUGUAAUUUAUGAUUUGAGUUAUAAUUUUUUUUUAUGAACGACGAUCCAAGUAAUGGUUACUUCGUGUGUCAGGAAGCGUACAGAAUUGCUAUUUUUCUAACAAUAUUUAUGGGUAUUAUGUCGCGAACAUCUAUAAAAAGUUUAACUUUUAUCUCAGUUAUUUGUCUGACAUUAAUAAUUUGCUCAGAGUAUCCACCAUUGUAUUCAAGUGUAAACUUUUCCAUCAACUAGUACCUUGUUUCGCAGUCUCAAACAAGUAAAGCACUAAACUUUCUCAUUACAAGAGGUAGUACUGACAUAGGUCAAAUGAAGGCAGAUACUGACAGAUAUUCACUUUUACAUAAAGAGGGCACAAUGUCCCACAGUAAACACAAGACAUAUCAAGGAUCUUACAAGUUUAAAUGUAGGUGAGAAUUUAAGCACUAUGAUUAGCAGAAACUUUCAAACAUUGCAUUGUGACUCUCGGAGAAAAGAAAUUAAAUAAGUGAUAAAUGCUAACCAACAAUAAUCUAAAAUAAAUAUUCUAAACGAAUUAUCCAUUGUAAUCACAGAUUUACAGUAAAUUGCGUUUUUAGUUAAAUUUGUUGCUGAUAAUCCAUUACACUCUAAAGCAGUAGUAAUCUUCAUAACUUCCAUCAUGCAGAUAAACAGUGAUCUUCAUUGAUUUUCAAUAAAGUUGAAAGUGGUGUGAAUGUUGCUACAAUGAAAAUACUCAGUUAUGUAUUCAGUUAUGUAUUCAGUAGUGUCAGAUGCAUGGAGAUAGCAGGAGGUGAUUGGCAGUUUUGAACCUACUACUUACAUUUAGAUUGAGGAUAAGUUUUUUCAGUUUUUAGUGCAUGUUUCUGUUCUUUAUGUUACGUUUUAUUCUCGUUAUUUGAAUGAUUGAAGUUAAGAUUAUCAAAAUAGAAAAAAAGGUAAACUGUCGAAAUACAACCUGAAAAAAGAAACAGACUUUAAAAACUAAAUGUAAAAAAUGAGUCAGAAUAGAUUUGCAUAUUGUUUUGUCAUGUGACAUUGUACAGAUACUGAGGACGAUUUGAAAAUAAAUGAAAUUACACACAA
Molecule: long non-coding RNA, 5426 nt
Filed under: Schistocerca americana (American grasshopper)
Lineage: Eukaryota; Metazoa; Arthropoda; Insecta; Orthoptera; Acrididae
Description: uncharacterized LOC124550616
Source: RNAcentral